This 90-nucleotide transfer RNA is filed under the name Candidatus Glassiibacteriota bacterium. RNAcentral's name for it is "Candidatus Glassbacteria bacterium tRNA-Ser". It matches the Rfam family "tRNA". Rfam says of the family: Transfer RNA (tRNA) molecules are approximately 80 nucleotides in length. Their secondary structure includes four short double-helical elements and three loops (D, anti-codon, and T loops). The record is from RNAcentral. RNAcentral also lists the same sequence under 1 other name. Lineage: Bacteria; Candidatus Glassiibacteriota.
GGAGAGGUGUCCGAGUGGUUGAAGGAGCCGGUCUCGAAAACCGGUGACGGUUCACGCCGUCCCAGGGUUCGAAUCCCUGCCUCUCCGCCA